Molecule: small nuclear RNA, 120 nt
Organism: Pocillopora damicornis (cauliflower coral)
Lineage: Eukaryota; Metazoa; Cnidaria; Anthozoa; Scleractinia; Pocilloporidae
Product: U5 spliceosomal RNA
Source: RefSeq, a predicted model, not a curated record
UCACUCUGGUUUUCCUUCAAAUCGUACAAAUCUUUCGCCUUUUACUAAAGAUUUCCGUGGAGGAAAACAACUGAAUGAGUCUAUAUAAUGAUUUUUUGUAGCCCUGCCCUUCGGCGGGGC